RNAcentral lists this long non-coding RNA (905 nucleotides) under Heterocephalus glaber (naked mole-rat). RNAcentral's name for it is "lncRNA (ENSHGLG00000027042.2)". The record is from RNAcentral. Lineage: Eukaryota; Metazoa; Chordata; Mammalia; Rodentia; Bathyergidae.
AGGAAAUCUCAGGUCCCAUGAAUGCAGCAUCCAAAUGAAGGAAAGGCUCGUGCUUUUGUGCCUUGCUGUCUGCCCUCAGAGUACCAACCACCCCUCUCAAGGAUAAGCUAUUUCUUGCAAAUUUAGCAUCCUUUAUUGCUAGUAUCUGCUUUCAAGCCGGGGGUGAUAUUUCUGAAUCAUCUGGCAUUAUUUACAACAGCUAAUGAUAGACAGAGUUUGAAGUAGAACUAUAGAGCCCCAAUCCAUCCUUUUCCUUGCUCCCAGAUGUCUCUGACCCAGGAGAUAGCAGCUUAAGCCCAUAAUGGCAAAAAAAAUACAACUUUUCCUCAGAACCAGCUCUGGAAGUCAGAAGUCCAACAUCAAAGUGCCAGCAGGAUUCAGAUUCGCUUCUUCUGUGACCUCCAUCCUUGGCUUAGUGUGUUCCAUGGGCUCAGAAGCAGUGAAUCCUCCCUCUUCUCAGAAGCAGAGCGCUUCUAUCAAACAGAGCUGAAAAUGUGAAGAACAAAAGGUCUGAAAUGUCACACGAUAAGAAAAAUUAUUUUUAAACUCUCAGUAACAGGAAAUGGAAGGAACUGUAUUCAUAGAGAAAGAAAAUGUAGAGGACAGGAAGUACUCUUACCAGGAGAAAGAGAGGAGAAAAAAGGAAGGAAGAAAUGAAGUCAGGCAAAGUUCCAAAGAAGAUAAACCCAGCCUGGUCCUGCAGAGGUCUGGAUUCUACAUUAAAUUCAGAGCUGACCCCACAGCAGAGCCAGAGAGCUGAGCUUCCAAACUCUCAUAUAAGGCAGCUAUGGACAAAACCCUCCUCAAAGGCUUGUCAGUCCCAGGGGCAUCCGAAUGCCUGUGCUGCAUAUGAACCAGCUCUUACUUGGGGCUAUUAGGUAUGAGUUCUGGCUCUUAGAAACAAA